RNAcentral lists this ribosomal RNA (253 nucleotides) under uncultured bacterium. RNAcentral describes it as "partial 16S ribosomal RNA". It matches the Rfam family "Bacterial small subunit ribosomal RNA", at positions 524 to 776 of the family's 1533-position model. The record is from RNAcentral.
UACAGAGGGUGCGAGCGUUAAUCGGAAUUACUGGGCGUAAAGCGCGCGUAGGCGGCUUGGCAAGCCGGAUGUGAAAUCCCCGGGCUUAACCUGGGAACUGCAUUCGGGACUGCAUUGCUAGAGUAUGGGAGAGGGAAGCGGAAUUUCCGGUGUAGCGGUGAAAUGCGUAGAUAUCGGAAGGAACAUCAGUGGCGAAAGCGGCUUCCUGGACCAGCACCGACGUUCAGGCACGAAAGCGUGGGGAGCAAACAGG